This 1007-nucleotide long non-coding RNA is filed under the name Sus scrofa (pig). Its description in RNAcentral is "lncRNA (ENSSSCG00050077533.1)". Lineage: Eukaryota; Metazoa; Chordata; Mammalia; Artiodactyla; Suidae. The record is from RNAcentral.
GCUCACGCUGUGUGCUGUGUGUGCCCGAGUAGCAGGUCCUGUCUCUGACCCAGGAGUGCCAUGUCUUCCGCCGGCAUCCAGGGAUCGGUGAUGAGUUAAAUUGCCGGCUCCUGAGUUAGAAAGAGACUUAGAGUCAUCAGGGUGUGCGUGCCGGGUGAAGCCACGGGUAUAGAUAGCAUUGCCUAGGACGAGGUCGGGGGCUGCCCAGGGCAGCAGCAACAGGGGGUCAGAAAGGGAGCUUCCAGAGGACCUCAAGCAAGAAGCCUGGAGGAGAGCAGCUCCCUGAAGGCCAAGGGAGUGGAGUUUCCAUCCAAAGAGAGAAGGCGGCACGAUCCGAAGCUGCUUAAGCAAGAUGAAGACUGAACGUGGCCACUGAAUUUAGCAACUAGGUCACUGGCAAGAGACGUUUCAAUGAAGCCAAGCUGGAGUGGGUGAGAAAUGAAUGGACUCAAAUACAAGGUGUUUCCAAAGAACUUGGCUGAAAAGGAAAGAGAGAUGGAGGAAAGAGUUUUCUUUCUAAAUAGAUGGAGCUCUCCGCAGAGUAUAUCCUGAGGAGAACGAGCCAGAAAAUCAGAGAAAUUGCGGGGAGAAAUUUAAGAGCAAGGAGAAGGAUGGAAGCAGGUCCUGAGGAAGAGGAGAGGAGUGGUUCUCAGACCCCAUGAGGGAUGGCCUGGGCCCUCCUCCACCUACCGAGCCUUUCACCAGCCACACCUCCUCCAGCCGGCCAACCUGCCAGCCUGGGCUGCAGUCUGUCUGGAGCCUCCUGUCCCGAGGGAAGGGCCUGGUCACAGGUUCUCCAGUGGCCGCCUUGCCUGGUGGUCCUGCAGGUUAGAGGUGGGAGGCACAGGAGUGUUUCCCAGCCUGCAGUCUCUGGAGAUGCCAACAGGACCCUUCUCCGGAAGUGUGAGCAAGAACAAAAGAAGACAUCUGGAUGUUUCAGAUCCUUUGAGACUAACGUGUAAGCAAAGACUCUCCCUAAGGACAUGCACUCAGCACCCACCACAACC